AAGUCUCAGAGCCGGGUGUUGGUUCCGGUAGAGAUCGAGGGAAGUUAGUACCGAAGUCUGGGAUGGAAGAUGGCGAGAAAAGCUGUGUGGAUUUCUGAGGUGCCCGUACCGCAAACCGACACAGGUAGGUAGGAAGAAGAUUCUAAGGCCAACGGGAGAAGGGUUGUUAAGGAACUCGGCAAACUGACCCCGUAACUUCGGGAGAAGGGGUGCUCCAGAGAUGGAGCCGCAGAGAAUCGGCCCAAGCAACUGUUUACCAAAAACACAGGUUUGUGCUAAAUCGAAAGAUGACGUAUACGAGCUGACGCCUGCCCGGUGCUGGAAGGUUAAGAGGAGAUGUGCAAGCAUUGAAUCGAAGCCCCAGUGAACGGCGGCCGUAACAAUAACGGUCCUAAGGUAGCGAAAUUCCUUGUCAGGUAAGUUCUGACCCGCAUGAAAGGCGUAAUGAUUUGGGCACUGUCUCAUCAGCCCGCCCGGCGAAAUUGUAGUACCGGUGAAGAUGCCGGUUACCCGCGACAAGACGGAAAGACCCCAUGGAGCUUUACUGUAGCCUAAUAUUGGGUUUCGAUGUUGCAUGCACAGGAUAGAUGGGACUCUGGGAAACCAGUGCUUUGGCGCUGGCGGAGAGGCCGUUGGGAUACCAUCCUUGCGAUAUUGGAAUUCUAACCUGCGGCUCUGAAUCGAGUCGGGGGACAUUGUUAGGUGGGCAGUUUGACUGGGGCGGUCGCCUCCUAAAAAGUAACGGAGGCGUUCAAAGGUUCGCUCAGCUUGAACGGAAAUCAAGCAAAAGAGUGCAAACGCAGAAGCGAGCCUAACUGCGAGACUGACGGGUCGAGCAGUAACGAAAGUUGGAGUUAGUGAUCCGGUGGUAUGUGAGUGGAAAUGCCAUCGCUCAACGGAUAAAAGUUACCCUGGGGAUAACAGGCUGAUCUCCCCCAAGAGUCCACAUCGACGGGGAGGUUUGGCACCUCGAUGUCGGCUCAUCGCAUCCUGGGGCUGUAUUCGGUCCCAAGGGUUUGGCUGUUCGCCAAUUAAAGCGGUACGCGAGCUGGGUUCAGAACGUCGUGAGACAGUUCGGUCCCUAUCUGUCGUGGGCGCAGGAUAUUUGAUGGGAGCUGUCCCUAGUACGAGAGGACCGGGACGGACGUACCUCUGGCGCACCAGUUGUUCUGCCAAGAGCAUAGCUGGGCAACUACGUACGGAUCGGAUAAACGCUGAAAGCAUCUAAGCGUGAAGCCGACCCAAAGAUAAGAUAUCCCACUGUUUCAAACAGGUAAGAUCCCUUGAAGACUACAAGGUUGAUAGGCACGAUGUGUAAGUGGAGUGAUCCAUUCAGCAAGCGUGUACUAAUAGAUCGAGGGCUUGAUC
This 1368-nucleotide ribosomal RNA is filed under the name metagenome. RNAcentral describes it as "bacterial LSU rRNA". It matches the Rfam family "Bacterial large subunit ribosomal RNA", at positions 1482 to 2925 of the family's 2925-position model. The record is from RNAcentral.